AGAGUUUGAUCCUGGCUCAGGACGAACGCUGGCGGCGUGCCUAAUACAUGCAAGUCGAACGCUUCUUUUUCCACCGGAGCUUGCUCCACCGGAAAAAGAGGAGUGGCGAACGGGUGAGUAACACGUGGGUAACCUGCCCAUCAGAAGGGGAUAACACUUGGAAACAGGUGCUAAUACCGUAUAACAAUCGAAACCGCAUGGUUUUGAUUUGAAAGGCGCUUUCGGGUGUCGCUGAUGGAUGGACCCGCGGUGCAUUAGCUAGUUGGUGAGGUAACGGCUCACCAAGGCGACGAUGCAUAGCCGACCUGAGAGGGUGAUCGGCCACAUUGGGACUGAGACACGGCCCAAACUCCUACGGGAGGCAGCAGUAGGGAAUCUUCGGCAAUGGACGAAAGUCUGACCGAGCAACGCCGCGUGAGUGAAGAAGGUUUUCGGAUCGUAAAACUCUGUUGUUAGAGAAGAACAAGGAUGAGAGUAACUGUUCAUCCCUUGACGGUAUCUAACCAGAAAGCCACGGCUAACUACGUGCCAGCAGCCGCGGUAAUACGUAGGUGGCAAGCGUUGUCCGGAUUUAUUGGGCGUAAAGCGAGCGCAGGCGGUUUCUUAAGUCUGAUGUGAAAGCCCCCGGCUCAACCGGGGAGGGUCAUUGGAAACUGGGAGACUUGAGUGCAGAAGAGGAGAGUGGAAUUCCAUGUGUAGCGGUGAAAUGCGUAGAUAUAUGGAGGAACACCAGUGGCGAAGGCGGCUCUCUGGUCUGUAACUGACGCUGAGGCUCGAAAGCGUGGGGAGCAAACAGGAUUAGAUACCCUGGUAGUCCACGCCGUAAACGAUGAGUGCUAAGUGUUGGAGGGUUUCCGCCCUUCAGUGCUGCAGCUAACGCAUUAAGCACUCCGCCUGGGGAGUACGACCGCAAGGUUGAAACUCAAAGGAAUUGACGGGGGCCCGCACAAGCGGUGGAGCAUGUGGUUUAAUUCGAAGCAACGCGAAGAACCUUACCAGGUCUUGACAUCCUUUGACCACUCUAGAGAUAGAGCUUCCCCUUCGGGGGCAAAGUGACAGGUGGUGCAUGGUUGUCGUCAGCUCGUGUCGUGAGAUGUUGGGUUAAGUCCCGCAACGAGCGCAACCCUUAUUGUUAGUUGCCAUCAUUUAGUUGGGCACUCUAGCAAGACUGCCGGUGACAAACCGGAGGAAGGUGGGGAUGACGUCAAAUCAUCAUGCCCCUUAUGACCUGGGCUACACACGUGCUACAAUGGGAAGUACAACGAGUCGCAAAGUCGCGAGGCUAAGCUAAUCUCUUAAAGCUUCUCUCAGUUCGGAUUGUAGGCUGCAACUCGCCUACAUGAAGCCGGAAUCGCUAGUAAUCGCGGAUCAGCACGCCGCGGUGAAUACGUUCCCGGGCCUUGUACACACCGCCCGUCACACCACGAGAGUUUGUAACACCCGAAGUCGGUGAGGUAACCUUUUGGAGCCAGCCGCCUAAGGUGGGAUAGAUGAUUGGGGUGAAGUCGUAACAAGGUAGCCGUAUCGGAAGGUGCGGCUGGAUCACCU
This 1548-nucleotide ribosomal RNA is filed under the name Enterococcus hirae. RNAcentral's name for it is "bacterial SSU rRNA". It matches the Rfam family "Bacterial small subunit ribosomal RNA". Lineage: Bacteria; Bacillati; Bacillota; Bacilli; Lactobacillales; Enterococcaceae. The record is from RNAcentral. RNAcentral also lists the same sequence under 22 other names.